Molecule: non-coding RNA, 209 nt
Organism: Caenorhabditis elegans
Lineage: Eukaryota; Metazoa; Nematoda; Chromadorea; Rhabditida; Rhabditidae
Source: Ensembl
GUGGCAACCGUCAGAAAACAACCAUAAAUCUGUGUGAGCAAAGCUCGGGAGCUCUUGUGAGAGACACUCAACAAAUUACUGCUCUUGGUCGCUGAUGUCUCUUUUCUCGUUUUUUCUCAACCUCGGUUUCCCUUGUUAGGCAAAGAGAGAGAGAGAGAGGUGGAACAGCACGUCACUUCAGGAAAACGCAGAUUGGGAGCCUAUGCUGC